Gossypium raimondii (Peruvian cotton) is the source of this 106-nucleotide small nucleolar RNA. It matches the Rfam family "Plant small nucleolar RNA R71". Rfam says of the family: R71 is a member of the C/D box family of snoRNAs containing the C (UGAUGA) and D (CUGA) box motifs. Lineage: Eukaryota; Viridiplantae; Streptophyta; Magnoliopsida; Malvales; Malvaceae. The record is from Rfam.
AAUCCGUGGUGUGGGCAUUUCAAAAUCAACUUUUUAACAUGCUCACAUGUUUCAUGAAAACUUUCCCCCUCAAACUGUUUGAACAUAGAAAUUUCCCUUUUUAGCU